CAGUCGCCGCGGGAAUACGGAGGGGGCUAGCGUUGUUCGGAAUUACUGGGCGUAAAGCGCGCGUAGGCGGCUUCUUAAGUCGGAUGUGAAAUCCCUGAGCUUAACUUAGGAAUUGCAUUCGAUACUGGGAAGCUAGAGUAUGGGAGAGGAUGGUAGAAUUCCAGGUGUAGCGGUGAAAUGCGUAGAGAUCUGGAGGAAUACCGAUGGCGAAGGCAGCCAUCUGGCCUAAUACUGACGCUGAGGUACGAAAGCAUGGGGAGCAAACAGGAUUAGAGACCCCUGUAGUCCCUGUCUCUUAUAC
RNAcentral lists this ribosomal RNA (301 nucleotides) under uncultured bacterium. RNAcentral's name for it is "partial 16S ribosomal RNA". It matches the Rfam family "Bacterial small subunit ribosomal RNA", at positions 509 to 807 of the family's 1533-position model. The record is from RNAcentral.